GCAUUUUUCCCGGUAUGCCUUGUCGCCCAUUCUUUUCUUUUCAGAUGUUAGAUAAUCAAAACCUUCGGGAGAUUUUCUUACCCGAUUAUUACGGCAAGGUGUUUCUGCAGCCUGAAAACUUCCCUGUUGACCAGACAGGUAAUCAAAUGUUUGGUGACUUUUGUCAUUCAUUUCCAGUUUAGUAGUGGCUUUGUCUGGUGAAGAAUCAGAACUUCCUGGUUGAACUUGUGGGCUUUCAAGUGCUUGAUGAUUGUUAUCAUUUACUUCAAGAGCUGCUGUGCUUGGACCCGUUGAAAAUCCAGGUUGGGCCGAUAAGUAAUUGAGUGUUUGAUGAUCGUUGCCAUUAAGUUCCGUAUCAGUAUCGGCCCUGUUUUGCUCCUGAGAAUCUUCUGGUUGGGCUGAAGUGCAAUCGAUCGCGUGAUCUUCAUAGAGUCCAUCUAGUGUCAACAUGUUUGAUGCAUCUGUACGCACAGAAAAACAUUUACAAUAACAAAUUUGUUUAGAGAAAUUCAAAUGUAACAAACACUCUUUGAAGCUACAGAUACUCAAUCCAAAGUAAGACUGUACGCAGCUGCACACGACUGUGUACGCCCACACAUGGAUAUGAUACAUCAGAUUAGUGAUUCAAGAACGAGAGAGAAUUUACCCUAAGAAAGUUAGGAGAAUACAAAGUAGAAGCUGGAAUUAGAAGAUCAGAACCCAAAGAUUUGGUGACAAACUCUUUAAGGAUGAAAUUUUACUCAAUUCAAUUCCAGAUCUAAGCAAAACAAAAACAAUUUAUUUUUUUCAAAUAGUCUAUUAACAAGAACUUAAACCUUGAUUUAUCUGAAAAGACAAAUAUUACAGCUAAACCUGUUGUUUCCUAAUUAUAGUUAAAAUUAAAGUCUACUGACUUCGCAUGUAUCUUACCGAAUAGCUUCCGCCAAAAACUGCCAACUUCCAUUGCAGGCAGCUGACAAGGGCAAGCGAAAGGAUGAUUGACUUUGCUUAACUUCUUUCUUGGAUUCAAAAGUGCAGAAGUAUAAAAAGAGGAAGGAGAGAAGACAGAAGACACUACGAAGUAAGAAUAAAGAACGACACGUGGGAAGACAAAAUAAACUGUAUAAAAGACUCGGUGCUUGCUUCUCACGUAAAUCCGCACUCAAAUCGCACGAAAUAAGUCCGAACCUCGCGUCUAUAAUCCAAAUAGGAUGACAUUGAUCGCGCUAUAUGCGCUCUUUAUUAAAGACACCGUGCAGGGUUGCGCUCUUUAUUAAAGACACCGUGUGGGGUUGUACACUUUUCAUCAAAUUUUUUAAUUUUGUUUAAAUUAUUUUUAUGUGUUAAUUUUAAAAUAAAAAAAUAUUAUUUUGAUAUAUUUUUUGAAUAACUUUUUUUUUUAAAUAAUCUUUAUCACAUUCUCAAACACUCGAGUGGAAAAAACAUUGUUCAUCAACAUCUACAUCCACAAAAUAGUAAUUCUUCGAUUUUUUUUAAUUUAAUUUUUUAAUUUUUAAAUCCUCUUUUAUUUAGUCCUUAAUUUUUAAAUUAUUUUUUUUUCUUGAUUUUUUUAUUUUAUUCUUCAACAUUUAAUUGAUUAAAAAUUAAAUUUUAAUAAAAAUUGGGGGAACAACACCAUUACAAUAAUAAUCUACAAUGUUUUUUUCUUUUUUAUUUUUAUUUUGAUUAUUUUUUUAAUGUAUCAGCAUCGAGUUGGUGCUAAAUUUCACAAAAACAAAAGAAUUCAAUUUUAUUAUUUGUUUGAAAUUAAAAACCAAGGGACCAAAAUUAAAAAAGAGAAAAAAUAGCAGCCCUUUGUUGCUUUUUUUUUUCUUUAUGAAUGGGUGCUUUCAAGUUCGGUGCUCUAAUUUUUUUUUAAUUUUUUCAGUCAUCUUUUUUUUUAUUUCAAUUUUAUUAUUCAUUGUUAUGUUGAUUAGGAUUUUUAUUGAUAAUUUUUUUUUAUUAUUAUUUAUCUAUGUAUUAAAUAAUUGUUUCAACAUCCGGUUAGUUAUCGACUUUGUGAGGUAUUGUUGAGAUUCUUCAUUUUUCUAAAGAUUAAGAGUAAGAAGCCUAAAUUGAAGAACAACAAAACAACGAAUCCUGGAUAGAUGAAUAGCACAAGACAGUCAUGAAAACCGAGGUAUUAAGAAAGAGAAGGUAAGAAAUAAAGAAUGGUUUGGCAGUCAUAUUGGACCUCCUCUUACAACACCCUCCGCAUUUUAGGGGACGUAAUGAUAAUUCCAACAACAACAAAAAAAUAAAAAUAAAUAAAUAAAUAAUGACAUCAAUUGGAUCAUGGUGAAAUGCUCAUCCACCGCCCAAAGGCUACAGGCCUUUCUCACACCUUGCCGCGUGUUUAGCAUAAGCCAAGCACUUCUAUGUUCUUCUUUCAGUUACGACCUUGACAUCACGACCCUUGAAAUCAUAGUUAUCAAAUCUAAUCCUGGCAUUAAUUUAAGUUAAGAAAUUGAGUUUUAGAUUUUACCUGUCAAUUCAGAAAAAUUAAAAAAUACAUUUAAAGUUUUAAUAUUUUAUAUAAAAAAAUUUAAAAAUAAUUUAUGUAAAUAUAGAUUAUAUAUUAGAAAUAAUUAAGUUUAAAAAAAUAUAUUUUUUAAAAAAAAGUAUCUCACAUUAAAAUAAUAUUAUAUAUUUAAUAUGAAUACAUUAAAACAAUUAUUUUUAAACUAAGAUUUUGUAAAAAUACACUCCAAUCGCACGGAUAAGUACGCUAUUAGUCUAGAUGGAUUGCCGGCGGCGAAAAGGCCGAAACCCUUGGUCCUCGACGAUUUCUUUUUAUGGUCAAUGCAUAUUGAGGGUUUGUUGGUGAAUAGUUUCAUAGUUUCUGAUGAAUAGCAUCUGAACUGGACGGCUGAAUGCAUAUCGAGGGUUUGUUGGUGAGAUGUGGUUGUGAGGAAUCAUGGGCGAGCUGAUUUCUUUGUAAAAUGAAGGCAGUAUCAAUAAUUGAGGAGUGUCUGUUUGGCACUGCGGUGCAACUUGUUUUUUGUAUAAUUUUAAAAAGAAAAUUUUGUUAAAAUUGAGUUUGUUUGUAUUUUCUGUAUCGUUUUGAUGUGCUGAUAUCAAAAAUGAUUUUUUAAAAAUAAAAAAAUAUUAUUGACAUAUUUUUCGACAUAAAAAACUAUUUAAAAAACAACAGUUAUCACACUUCCAAACACCCAAGUACACAAAGCGCUGCAUUGUUUGACGAGGUCACUGCGGUACCAUGUGAAACACAACCCUUUUAACCUGUUGUUGAGGACUUGGUUUUAUUGGCCCAUAAAUUUUUAUAAAUCUUGUCGGUGGAUAGUAGAUAAAUUUUAAAAAAUCUUAUCUAAAAAAAAUUAUAAAUAGGCUAAUUUUAAGAAAAUAUGGGACUUUUGUUUUCUAUCUAUAAGAAAAAGGACGAGCACCCUUAAUUUUUUCCCCAACCCCAUUUAUCAAUUACAAUAACUUCAGAUGGAGUAUUCUUACAAUUUGUAAUGGGGUCAUCCUCAAAUUAAAACUCAAAUUCAAAUUAAAAAAAAAAAAAAAACCUGAUCCCAUUUUUUUUCAUAAAUAAAUAAAUUUACGAGAAAUCAAAUUACCAAAAGCAUCCUCCAUUUUUCACAACUGGUUCUAACCCCUAAUCACCACAUCAGCAAAUUGAUGUCCCUUUUAGAAGAAAUUGCCUCUCAAUAUCCUGCAUGAACACACAAGCACAGUCAUCAGUAUGAGCCCUCAGUGAAAAAUCUUGAGGCCAACUGUUCUCUGUUGUGAAUGGCUACUGUAAGAACUACUUCAAGAAACAUACAUAUAUUAUUGAAUUCCAUGUUUUUCCAACAUUUCAUAACUCCUCCUGGGAUAAGUCAUAGGCUAUAAAUAUGGCUAAUAAACUUAUUUCUACCUCAUGUACGCAUUCAACUUACGAAUUUCUCUACUAUCAAGUUAUCAUGCUUUUCUUAGUAUUAAACUUCCUAUCACACCUAAUUCACUCAUCAUUAACAUAUAAAAUCUCAAAUCUUACUUUACCCCAGUUUAACCUAGUUCGCUGAUUUGGUGAGUUAAACUUUUUUCUUGAAUUACUUUUUUCAACUUUAUUUUUUAAAAUUAGGUUGGUUGAUAAUUGCAAUUUAAUUUUUUUUUUAUAUAUAAAAUUAUUGUGGUCUUAAACAAACAUCAAAUAUUAGGUUGGUGCUUGAUUUUGUGAUAAUUUAUUUUUGUUGUUGUAUAGUUAAAUAAAGAAAAGUUUCAUGAAAAAAUCAAGUUAUUAAUUCCAAUGAAGUCCAACUUUCGUUUGCUAGGUUUACUCACCAAGUCUGAUAUGCUUUUUUUUUCUUUUGAUUUUUUUUAUUAUAUCCUUCAAUAUUGAAUUGAUUAGGAAACAAGCUUCAUUAUUUAUCUAGGUUUAUUUUAUGUUAGGUUAUUGCAGUUUCAAACAAACUUCUUGAUAUUGUGUUAGUGCUUGAUUUUGCAAACAAGUAUUUUUUAUAAUUAAAUAAAAAUAAUUUAAAAAAAUUAAGUUAUUAAACCCAAUAAAAUUUAUGAUCCGAGAACUAGAUUGACCGAGGUCGAUUCCAUAUCUAAUCCUCUUAAUAUUUUAAAGAAGAAUUUUCAUCUUGAAUUUUUUUACCUAGUACAAGUCAUGUUUUCACCGGUUGUUGCACGUCCUCGCGUGGAAUCCAAAGCAAAAAAAAUUUGUUGCUUAAUUAAUCUUUAAAAGUCAUCACUUAAUAUUUGAUUCAGGAUCACUAUAAAAUCCAAGUGUUCUGGUCUUAUCAGAUAUUCAAAAGUAAAAAAAUGAUUGUAAUUAAAAAACAUAUUAGCACCCCUAACACGCUUUAUCUAAGAUAAAUUGUUUUGUAAUUUGAUAUAACUUGAAAGGUUUGACAAUUUAUCUUGAUCCUAGCCUAUUAAAAAAAAAUAUCCUAGAUAAAAAGAUCCUUAAAAAUCUAACAAUUCUAACAUCAAUAAAACAAAUCAAACUCUUUAUUUUUUUUAACAUAAACACAUCUUAUAAAUAAGAUCAAAAUCCUUCAUCGUGUGCAAAUCAAAUCAUUAAAUUCUUUCUUCUUGUAUUUUUAAUUUUAUAAUUCUAAAAUAUUUAUAACAUAAAAUACAUAUACAAAUCCCUUUUCAUUAUAUUUUUCUCACACCCCCACAUUUACAUGUUACAAAAUAAUAAAAAUCAAAUAACACAAUAAACAAAUCAAAAAUUAUAAAAUAAACCCCAAGAAAUCAGUAAUUGCUGGGAAAACUUUAGGAACUGCAGGAACAGUGGUAGCGUGUUUGUUCCAUGCGCCACCAUUUCAGGUAGCUGGUGGGAAGGCCAAAAGUUGUCGGCGGCUGGGCUUCUAUCGCGUCUAAUCGGCGGCAAUGGAGGAGAAAGGAGUGUUGUCUUGUCGUUGGUUUUGGUUGGAAAUAGGGCUAGAUUUGUGGGCGUUGUUGUGUGUUGGCUGCUGCGGGAGGCUGGUUGCAAAAGAUGAAGAAGAGAGUGUUGCCCGGGCACUGCUGUGGGUGGGCUGCUGGCCCUCUGGUGAAGACGCUGCUGCUACGGUUGGCGGUGAAAACCGGCUGAGAGUAGAGUCAAGGGCUAUCUUUGCUAGUCUGUGGAGGAAAGCAAGAUAGAUCGGGGUUUGUUGUGGGGAGGUUGCAGCAAGGAAGGAAAUGCAGGGGAUGGUCGUCUCGUGGCUGAGAGAGGGGGGAGGUCUGUGGAGCUGUUCUGGGGUUAUGGAGGGGCACUAGAAGUUAAUGGGAAGGGCGAGUGAGGGGGUGUCUUGUGGUUGAGAAAGGAUAGGGACGAUGGAGAGGUUGGAGUAGAGCUGGGGAACUGGUGGGUGUUGGUGUGGCAACUGCUUUUGCCAUGGGAAAGGGAAUGCUUUGGCUGGUUCUUGGAGAAAACAAAUCAAGGAAGAUGGGGGGCGGCAGCUUGUUUUGAAAGAGAAAGAUUUAGGGUUUCCUCUUCUUCUUUUUUUACUCUCAAAAUUGGCCCCUCACCCUUUCUGAAUCUGUUUCCUACCCGGGGCUGGUUUUUUUCGUCCCUAUUUAUAUUUUUUUUUUCAAAUGCUCAAUAAAACAUCUGUAUUUGAUUUAUUUUUUUCCUUGAAAACAAGCAAUAUUAUCAUUGUUUCAAUGAGAAAAACAAAUAAUUUUUAAAAUAAUACAUUAAAAAUUAACCACAUUUAAAAAACCUUUAAAAUUUAAAAAUUUUUUGAGAUAAUAUUGAAAAUGCUAAAAAUAAUACAAGUUUAUCAAGAACAUAUAUUUUUUGAGUUUUUUGUUUUGUUUUGUUUUUUUUUUUGGAUUUUUCAAAAACUUAUCAAAGAUAUGGGUCAAAAACUAGUUAGUAACACUGGUUAUCCAAGUUAAUUUUAGAUCAAUUAAUUUUUUAUAUAUUGAUAUUAAAAAUAAAUUUUAAAAAAUAUUAUACAUUUCCGUCACAGUAAACACUCCCUUAGUGAAUCAAAGUUCCGUAACCGAGACAAAUACUAUUAAGUAUAUAUAUUAGUAGUACAGUACUUUAUCGUGUAUGUUCCUCUUCAUGGUUCUUGUCAUUGUUUAUCUUCAUGCAUAAAGCUUCAACAGUCAUUUUGAACACAAUGUUUUCACGUCGUAGUUGUUCAUUUCUUCCUUGAAGCUGAAGUAUAAUUGAGUUGUCCUGAUUGUUAGCACAGCUCGUUAAUUGAUCCAUUUGAGAUUUUAGAAGAGUAUUUUCACGUUGAAGAUCUAUAAUUUGGGACUGGACCUGCAAAAUAGAAUGAAGAUAACAGUGAGAUAUAGAUGAAUCAAUUAAAUUAAGAAAUGAAAGAGAGGGAAACGUACUAGUUGCUUUGUGAGAGCCUCCACAACAAUAUUUUGUGUAUUAAGGCUGUCUUCCAAUCGACGAACUUCUUGCUGAAGAUGCUUGUUCUCUUCUUCUUGAGACUUUAAAGCAAGAUAAUUCCUAACACAUUCUUCAUUUAAACGAUUAUUUUCUGUCUUUAGACGAUUAUUUUCUGCCUUGGUAUUUUCUCUGUCUUCCUGAAGAAAGUAAAUAUUAGCACGUAAAAUGAAAGGAAGAAGACAAAUUGAGCAAGGCAAGAUAAGCAAAUAACAUUAAUGUCUGGGGGAGAGGUAAUUGGUCUUACCUUGCAUUUUUCCCGGUAUGCCUUGUCGCCCAUUCUUUUCUUUUCAGAUGUUAGAUACUCAAAACCUUCGGGAGAUUUUCUUACCCGAUUAUUACGGCAAGGUGUUUCUGCAGCCUGACAACUUCCCUGUUGACCAGACAGGUAAUCAAAUGUUUGGUGACUUUUGUCAUUCAUUUCCAGUUUAGUAGUGGCUUUGUCUGGUGAAGAAUCAGAACUUCCUGGUUGAACUUGUGG
RNAcentral lists this long non-coding RNA (7313 nucleotides) under Populus tremula. RNAcentral's name for it is "long non-coding RNA (PTRE_LNC000057)". Lineage: Eukaryota; Viridiplantae; Streptophyta; Magnoliopsida; Malpighiales; Salicaceae. The record is from RNAcentral.